This is an RNA transcript of Xyrauchen texanus (razorback sucker), 2043 nucleotides long. It is a transcript of the gene named lysocardiolipin acyltransferase 1-like, with no coding region annotated. The transcript is spliced from 2 exons. The record is from RefSeq and is a predicted model, not a curated record. Lineage: Eukaryota; Metazoa; Chordata; Actinopteri; Cypriniformes; Catostomidae.
AUAUACUCAGAAUCACAUGUUAUACAUGCACAGAUAUACACAGAAUCACAUGUUAUACAUGCAAAGAUAUACACAGAAUCACAUGUUAUACAUGCACAGAUAUACACAGAAUCACGUUAUACAUGCACAGAUAUACUCAGAAGCACAUGUUAUACAUGCACAGAUAUACACAGAAGCACAUGUUAUACAUGCACAGAUAUACACAGAAUCACAUGUUAUACAUGCACAGAUAUACUCAGAAGCACAUGUAAUACAUGCACAGAUAUACACAGAAGCACAUGUUAUACAUGCACAGAUAUACACAGAAUCACAUGUUAUACAUGCACAGAUAUACACAGAAGCACAUGUUAUACAUGCACAGAUAUACACAGAAGCACGUUAUGCAUGCACAGAUAUACACAGAAGCACAUGUUAUACAUGCACAGAUAUACACAGAAUCACAUGUUAUACAUGCACAGAUAUACACAGAAUCACGUUAUACAUGCACAGAUAUACACAGAAUCACAUGUUAUACAUGCACAGAUAUACACAGAAUCACGUUAUACAUGCACAGAUAUACACAGAAUCACAUGUUAUACAUGCACAGAUAUACACAGAAUCACAUGUUAUACAUGCACAGAUAUACACAGAAUCACAUGUUAUACAUGCACAGAUAUACACAGAAUCACAUGUUAUACAUGCACAGAUAUACACAGAAUCACGUUAUACAUGCACAGAUAUACACAGAAUCACAUGUUAUACAUGCACAGAUAUACACAGAAUCACAUGUUAUACAUGCACAGAUAUACACAGAAUCACGUUAUACAUGCACAGAUAUACUCAGAAGCACAUGUUAUACAUGCACAGAUAUACACAGAAUCACGUUAUACAUGCACAGAUAUACACAGAAUCACAUGUUAUACAUGCACAGAUAUACACAGAAUCACGUUAUACAUGCACAGAUAUACACAGAAUCACAUGUUCUACAUGCACAGAUAUACUCAGAAUCACAUGUUAUACAUGCACAGAUAUACACAGAAUCACAUGUUAUACAUGCACAGAUAUACACAGAAUCACAUGUUAUACAUGCACAGAUAUACACAGAAUCACAUGUUAUACAUGCACAGAUAUACACAGAAUCACAUGUUAUACAUGCACAGAUAUACACAGAAUCACGUUAUACAUGCACAGAUAUACACAGAAUCACAUGUUAUACAUGCACAGAUAUACUCAGAAUCACAUGUUAUACAUGCACAGAUAUACACAGAAUCACAUGUUAUACAUGCACAUAUAUACUCAGAAUCACAUGUUAUACAUGCACAGAUAUACACAGAAUCACAUGUUAUACAUGCACAGAUAUACACAGAAUCACAUGUUAUACAUGCACAUAUAUACUCAGAAUCACAUGUUAUACAUGCACAUAUAUACUCAGAAUCACAUGUUAUACAUGCACAUAUAUACUCAGAAUCACAUGUUAUACAUGCACAGAUAUACUCAGAAUCACAUGUUAUACAUGCACAGAUAUACACAGAAUCACAUGUUAUACAUGCACAGAUAUACACAGAAUCACAUGUUAUACAUGCACAGAUAUACUCAGAAUCACAUGUUAUACAUGCACAUAUAUACUCAGAAUCACAUGUUAUACAUGCACAUAUAUACACAGAAUCACAUGUUAUACAUGCACAGAUAUACUCAGAAUCACAUUUGAAAGUGGCUCAAAUAAAGUGAAACUUGAAUUGUUUGAUCGCGGAAACAGAAUCAGUUUGUUCUCAUUUCACUAAUGCUUUUAUUGAAUGUUUGUGCAGAAAACACUCGAGUCAGGAGUGACGAGUUUGCUGAGAAAAAUGGUCUUCCGAAGUUUGAAUAUGUUCUUCACCCCCGCACCACGGGGUUUACCUUCAUUGUUGACAUACUACGCAAAGUGUGUUGCUGCCGUCCAGCAGGUCGACAGUAACGUCUCCAGAGGGCGAGGAGGGGUUCCCGUUACAAACAGACACAGACGUCGCUCCGCCGGGACAGCACGACAGAGUCCUACACGCCGGUGACAGACAGGGGGUGUUACAG